Molecule: long non-coding RNA, 513 nt
Filed under: Chloebia gouldiae (Gouldian finch)
Lineage: Eukaryota; Metazoa; Chordata; Aves; Passeriformes; Passeridae
Description: Erythrura gouldiae (Gouldian finch) lncRNA (ENSEGOG00005008202.1)
Source: RNAcentral
GGAACCGCGGGCACGGCGGGGCAGGGAGCGCGCCCGGGGCUGGGAGACUCAGGGGCGGGGCAGCCCCGGGACAGCGCCGGGACAGCGCUGGGAUUGGACUGGGAUAGCCCGGGACAGCGCCGGGACAGCGCCGGGACAGCGCUGGGAUUGGACUGAGGAGGGCCAGAAGGAAUGAAAUCCAUCGUGGCUCAGCCUGGGCUGGUGAAAGCGAGCUGGGAAAGGCAGGAGCAGGUUUUACUGGGACUCCUUUCAAGGGCUGCCCGGAGCCCCCCGCGGUAAAUAGUGCACAGCUCGGGCCAGGAGGAUUUCCUCACCGCUGGGACUCUUAAUGUCGAAAGCAGAGGUGUCAAACAAGGGGCUCAAAGCCCCGUGGUGGCCCCGGAGAGUUCCACAUCUGGCCUGGAUCUCGGUGCUUAACACGUUUUAACUCUUGCCCCGAGCAGCUCCGGAUUUCCCUCGGCAGCCCGGGUUAGGUUUGAUUUAAGAGGCUGCAAGGAAAAGCCAAAAUAAAAA